UACGUAGGGUGCAAGCGUUGUCCGGAAUUAUUGGGCGUAAAGAGCUCGUAGGCGGUCUGUCGCGUCGGCUGUGAAAACCCGAGGCUCAACCUCGGGCCUGCAGUCGAUACGGGCAAACUAGAGUACUGCAGGGGAGACUGGAAUUCCUGGUGUAGCGGUGAAAUGCGCAGAGAUCCGGAGGAACACCAGUGGCGAAGGCGACACGCUGGGCCGUACCUGACACUGAUGCGCGACAGCAUGGGGAGCAAACAGG
RNAcentral lists this ribosomal RNA (253 nucleotides) under uncultured bacterium. Its description in RNAcentral is "partial 16S ribosomal RNA". It matches the Rfam family "Bacterial small subunit ribosomal RNA", at positions 524 to 776 of the family's 1533-position model. The record is from RNAcentral.